RNAcentral lists this ribosomal RNA (253 nucleotides) under uncultured bacterium. RNAcentral describes it as "partial 16S ribosomal RNA". It matches the Rfam family "Bacterial small subunit ribosomal RNA", at positions 524 to 776 of the family's 1533-position model. The record is from RNAcentral.
UACGUAGGGUGCGAGCGUUAAUCGGAAUUACUGGGCGUAAAGCGUGCGCAGGCGGUUUUGUAAGUUAGAGGUGAAAGCCCGGGGCUCAACUCCGGAAUUGCCUUUAAGACUGCAUCGCUAGAAUUGUGGAGAGGUAAGUGGAAUUCCGAGUGUAGAGGUGAAAUUCGUAGAUAUUCGGAAGAACACCAGUGGCGAAGGCGACUUACUGGACACAUAUUGACGCUGAGGUGCGAAAGCGUGGGGAGCAAACAGG